UCAGAAGUGGUUCUAGGUAUGUAUUGUUGGAGAGUGAUACCAUGUCAGAAGUGGUUCUAGGUAUGUAUUGUUGGAGAGUGAUACCAUGUCAGAAGUGGUUCUAGGUAUGUAUUGUUGGAGAGAGUGAUACCAUGUCAGAAGUGGUUCUAGGUAUGUAUUGUUGGAGAGAGUGAUACUAUGUCAGAAGUGGUUCCAGGUAUGUAUUGUUGGAGAGAGUGAUACAUGUCAGAAGUGGUUCUAGGUAUGUAUUGUUGGAGAGAGCGAUACCAUGUCAGAAGUGGUUCUAGGUAUGUAUUGUUGGAGAGAGUGAUACAUGUCAGAAGUGGUUCUAGGUAUGUAUUGUUGGAGAGUGAUACCAUGUCAGAAGUGGUUCUAGGUAUGCAUUGUUGGAGAAUGAUACCAUGUCAGAAGUGGUUCUAGGUAUGUAUUGUUGGAGAGUGAUACCAUGUCAGAAGUGGUUCUAGGUAUGUAUUGUUGGAGAGUGAUACCAUG
RNAcentral lists this long non-coding RNA (492 nucleotides) under Salmo salar (Atlantic salmon). Its description in RNAcentral is "lncRNA (ENSSSAG00000097948.1)". The record is from RNAcentral. Lineage: Eukaryota; Metazoa; Chordata; Actinopteri; Salmoniformes; Salmonidae.